GUCGGUGAGCCUGUGAAAACCGACCGAGUUUGUUGUGAUCUCGUGAAAACAACAAGUUAGGUUGUGAGCUUGUAAAACAACCGGCUGUAAUCUGGAGGAUUAUAGUGAAAUUUCCAAGAGGUCUUGGGGAGUGGAUGUAGGUGCUGGGGUGCACCGAACCACUAUACAUCUUUGUGUUUGUGAUGCCUUAUCUCUUGUAUUUCAUGCCUUACAAUCAUACUUGAUUGUGUAAUAUCUCUAGCUUUGUUUUCUAUAGAGUUAUAAGUGAUUGUUUAGAAUUUGCUUAGCUUCCACUCCAUUCUUACCAUACACAUAGAUUAAAAUUGAUCAUACAACUAUAAGUUAAUUUUAGAUCAAUUGCACCCUAAAGCCAUAGUAUAAUUGCUUUAGCUUAAUUUUCCAAUGCUUUACUUGUAAUUGCCUAGAGCUUAAGUAAAUAACAUCUUAUCAUUCCGCUGCAUUCAAUUCAAAGUAAAAAUUAGGGAACAUAAUUUUUAGAAAAUCCAGUUCAGCCCCCCUCUUGGGUUGUCACCUUGGGCAACAAGUGGUAUCAGAGCAGGUGCUCUAAGAUUAAUUGUUGAUCUCACGAUCAAGAGCCAAAGAUCAUGACAACUCAAAUAGAUAGUUUUCUAGGAGAGGGACAAUUAAUUGAUAGACCUCCACUAUUUAAUGGCAUAAACUACACACAUUGGAAAGUACGCAUGCACAUUUUUAUUCAAUCACAAAACUAUGAUUUAUGGAAUAUCAUAAUAAAUGACCUUCACACACUCUCUCAAACUAUUAAUGAAAAAGACUUAGCACAAUUGAAUGCUAAUGCUAUGAACAU
RNAcentral lists this long non-coding RNA (826 nucleotides) under Phoenix dactylifera (date palm). Its description in RNAcentral is "long non-coding RNA (PDAC_LNC009432)". Lineage: Eukaryota; Viridiplantae; Streptophyta; Magnoliopsida; Arecales; Arecaceae. The record is from RNAcentral.